GACGAACGCUGGCGGCGUGCUUAACACAUGCAAGUCGAACGGAAAGGCCCCCACUUUUUUGGUGGGGGUGCUCGAGUGGCGAACGGGUGAGUAACACGUGGGUGAUCUGCCCUGUACUUCGGGAUAAGCUUGGGAAACGGGGUCAAAUACCGGUAGGGACAAUGGUUUGUUUUCUCAGGGGGGAAAAAUUAUUGUUUUGUUGCAGGAGAAGCUCGCGGCCUAUCAGCUUGUUGGUGGGGUAAUGGCCUACCAAGGCGUCGACGGGUAGCCGGCCUGAGAGGGUGGACGGCCACAUUGGGACUGAGAUACGGCCCAGACUCCUACGGGAGGCAGCAGUGGGGAAUAUUGCACAAUGGGCGCAAGCCUGAUGCAGCGACGCCGCGUGGGGGAUGACGGCCUUCGGGUUGUAAACUCCUUUCGUUAGGGACGAAGCCGCACCUUUUUUGGGUGUGGUGACGGUACCUUUGUUAAGAAGCACCGGCUAACUACGUG
This 492-nucleotide ribosomal RNA is filed under the name uncultured bacterium. RNAcentral describes it as "partial 16S ribosomal RNA". It matches the Rfam family "Bacterial small subunit ribosomal RNA", at positions 28 to 507 of the family's 1533-position model. The record is from RNAcentral.